UACGUAUGGAGCAAGCGUUCUCCGGAUUUACUGGGUGUAAAGGGAGCGUAGACGGCAUAGCAAGUCUGAAGUGAAAUCCCACGGCUCAACCGUGGAACUGCUUUGGAAACUGUUAAGCUGGAGUGCAGGAGAGGUAAGCGGAAUUCCUAGUGUAGCGGUGAAAUGCGUAGAUAUUAGGAGGAACACCAGUGGCGAAGGCGGCUUACUGGACUGUAACUGACGUUGAGGCUCGAAAGCGUGGGGAG
RNAcentral lists this ribosomal RNA (245 nucleotides) under uncultured Butyrivibrio sp. Its description in RNAcentral is "partial 16S ribosomal RNA". It matches the Rfam family "Bacterial small subunit ribosomal RNA", at positions 524 to 768 of the family's 1533-position model. The record is from RNAcentral. Lineage: Bacteria; Bacillati; Bacillota; Clostridia; Lachnospirales; Lachnospiraceae.